Molecule: ribosomal RNA, 660 nt
Filed under: Nostoc sp. LCRNK_11
Lineage: Bacteria; Bacillati; Cyanobacteriota; Cyanophyceae; Nostocales; Nostocaceae
Description: bacterial SSU rRNA
Rfam family: Bacterial small subunit ribosomal RNA
Source: RNAcentral
ANAGCCGAGNACACAGCGGGAGCGGCUGCUAAUACCGGAUGUGCCUAAAGGUCCAAGGUUUGCUGCCUGAAGAUGAGCUCGCGUCUGAUUAGCUAGUAGGUGUGGUAAGAGCGCACCUAGGCGACGAUCAGUAGCUGGUCUGAGAGGACGAUCAGCCACACUGGGACUGAGACACGGCCCAGACUCCUACGGGAGGCAGCAGUGGGGAAUUUUCCGCAAUGGGCGAAAGCCUGACGGAGCAAUACCGCGUGAGGGAGGAAGGCUCUUGGGUUGUAAACCUCUUUUCUCAGGGAAGAAUACAAUGACGGUACCUGAGGAAUAAGCAUCGGCUAACUCCGUGCCAGCAGCCGCGGUAAUACGGAGGAUGCAAGCGUUAUCCGGAAUGAUUGGGCGUAAAGCGUCCGCAGGUGGCAAUGAAAGUCUGCUGUUAAAGAGUGAGGCUUAACCUCAUAAAAGCGGUGGAAACUACAUAGCUAGAGUACGUUCGGGGCAGAGGGAAUUCCUGGUGUAGCGGUGAAAUGCGUAGAGAUCAGGAAGAACACCGGUGGCGAAAGCGCUCUGCUAGGCCUGUACUGACACUGAGGGACGAAAGCUAGGGGAGCGAAUGGGAUUAGAUACCCCCCCCNUCCACAUAAAGAAAGGGUGAGGUAAACGCGAAAA